UGCAGUCGAGCGAACAGAUGAGAAGCUUGCUUCUCUGAUGUUAGCGGCGGACGGGUGAGUAACACGUGGGUAACCUACCUAUAAGACUGGGAUAACUCCGGGAAACCGGGGCUAAUACCUGAUAAUAUUUUGAACCGCAUGGUUCAAUAGUGAAAGACGGCUUCGGCUGUCACUUAUAGAUGGACCCGCGCCGUAUUAGCUAGUUGGUAAGGUAAUGGCUUACCAAGGCGACGAUACGUAGCCGACCUGAGAGGGUGAUCGGCCACACUGGAACUGAGACACGGUCCAGACUCCUACGGGAGGCAGCAGUAGGGAAUCUUCCGCAAUGGGCGAAAGCCUGACGGAGCAACGCCGCGUGAGUGAUGAAGGUCUUAGGAUCGUAAAACUCUGUUGUUAGGGAAGAACAAAUUUGUUAGUAACUGAACAAGUCUUGACGGUACCUAACCAGAAAGCCACGGCUAACUACGUGCCAGCAGCCGCGGUAAUACGUAGGUGGCAAGCGUUAUCCGGAAUUAUUGGGCGUAAAGCGCGCGUAGGCGGUUUCUUAAGUCUGAUGUGAAAGUCCACGGCUCAACCGUGGAAGGUCAUUGGAAACUGGGGAACUUGAGUGCAGAAGAGGAGAGUGGAAUUCCAUGUGUAGCGGUGAAAUGCGCAGAGAUAUGGAGGAACACCAGUGGCGAAGGCGGCUCUCUGGUCUGUAACUGACGCUGAUGUGCGAAAGCGUGGGGAUCAAACAGGAUUAGAUACCCUGGUAGUCCACGCCGUAAACGAUGAGUGCUAAGUG
RNAcentral lists this ribosomal RNA (784 nucleotides) under Staphylococcus sp. Y18-MSE-E14. Its description in RNAcentral is "bacterial SSU rRNA". It matches the Rfam family "Bacterial small subunit ribosomal RNA", at positions 56 to 822 of the family's 1533-position model. The record is from RNAcentral. Lineage: Bacteria; Bacillati; Bacillota; Bacilli; Caryophanales; Staphylococcaceae.